This 618-nucleotide ribosomal RNA is filed under the name Bacillus sp. PO2-9. Its description in RNAcentral is "bacterial SSU rRNA". It matches the Rfam family "Bacterial small subunit ribosomal RNA", at positions 212 to 823 of the family's 1533-position model. The record is from RNAcentral. Lineage: Bacteria; Bacillati; Bacillota; Bacilli; Caryophanales; Bacillaceae.
CUAACACUACAAGAUGGGCCUGCGGCGCAKUAGCUAGUUGGUAAGGUAGUGGCUUACCAAGGCGACGAUGCGUAGCCGACCUGAGAGGGUGAUCGGCCACACUGGGACUGAGACACGGCCCAGACUCCUACGGGAGGCAGCAGUAGGGAAUCUUCCGCAAUGGACGAAAGUCUGACGGARCAACGCCGCGUGAGCGAUGAARGCCUUCGGGUCGUAAAGCUCUGUUGUUAGGGAAGAACAAGUGCCGUUCGAAUAGGUCGGCACCUUGACGGUACCUAACCAGAAAGCCACGGCUAACUACGUGCCAGCAGCCGCGGUAAUACGUAGGUGGCAAGCGUUGUCCGGAAUUAUUGGGCGUAAAGCGCGCGCAGGCGGUCUUUUAAGUCUGAUGUGAAAGCCCACGGCUCAACCGUGGAGGGUCAUUGGAAACUGGRAGACUUGAGUACAGAAGAGGAGAGUGGAAUUCCACGUGUAGCGGUGAAAUGCGUAGAUAUGUGGAGGAACACCAGUGGCGAAGGCGACUCUCUGGUCUGUAACUGACGCUGAGGCGCGAAAGCGUGGGGAGCAACAGGAUUAGAUACCCUGGUAGUCCACGCCGUAACGAUGAGUGCUAGUGUU